UACGUAGGGUGCGAGCGUUAAUCGGAAUUACUGGGCGUAAAGUGUGCGCAGGCGGCCAUGCAAGUCGAGUGUGAAAGCCCCCGGGCUUAACUUGGGAAUUGCGCUCGAAACUACGUGGCUGGAGUGUGGCAGAGGAAGGUGGAAUUCCACGUGUAGCGGUGAAAUGCGUAGAGAUGUGGAGGAACACCAAUGGCGAAGGCAGCCUUCUGGGCCAACACUGACGCUCAUGCACGAAAGCGUGGGGAGCAAACAGG
RNAcentral lists this ribosomal RNA (254 nucleotides) under uncultured bacterium. Its description in RNAcentral is "partial 16S ribosomal RNA". It matches the Rfam family "Bacterial small subunit ribosomal RNA", at positions 524 to 776 of the family's 1533-position model. The record is from RNAcentral.